This 242-nucleotide unclassified non-coding RNA is filed under the name plant metagenome. RNAcentral describes it as "partial contains small subunit ribosomal RNA, internal transcribed spacer 1, and 5.8S ribosomal RNA". The stretch from base 1 to 53 matches the Rfam family "Eukaryotic small subunit ribosomal RNA", at positions 1778 to 1831 of the family's 1831-position model. The record is from RNAcentral.
GGAAGUAAAAGUCGUACAAGGUCUCCGUAGGUGAACCUGCGGAGGGAUCAUUACAGAGUUCGCGCCCUCGCGGGUAGAUCUCCCACCCUGUGUUAUUGCUACCUUUGUUGCUUUGGCGGGCCGCCCUCGGCUACCGGCCCCGGCUGGUACGCGCCCGCCAGAGGACCCCAAACCCUGAACGUCAGUGUCGUCUGAGUACUAUACAAUAGUUAAAACUUUCAACAACGGAUCUCUUGGUUCUG